RNAcentral lists this ribosomal RNA (441 nucleotides) under uncultured bacterium. RNAcentral's name for it is "partial 16S ribosomal RNA". It matches the Rfam family "Bacterial small subunit ribosomal RNA", at positions 338 to 795 of the family's 1533-position model. The record is from RNAcentral.
CCUACGGGCGGCAGCAGUGGGGAAUAUUGCACAAUGGGGGAAACCCUGAUGCAGCGACGCCGCGUGAGUGAAGAAGUAUUUCGGUAUGUAAAGCUCUAUCAGCAGGGAAGAAAAUGACGGUACCUGACUAAGAAGCCCCGGCUAACUACGUGCCAGCAGCCGCGGUAAUACGUAGGGGGCAAGCGUUAUCCGGAUUUACUGGGUGGAAAGGGAGCGUAGGUGGCAUGGUAAGCCAGAAGUGAAAACCCAGGGCUCAACUCUGUGGAUUGCUUUUGGAACUAUCAAGCUAGAGUGCUGGAGGGGUAAGCGGAAUUCCUAGUGUAGCGGUGAAAUGCGUAGAUAUUAGGAGGAACACCGGUGGCGAAGGCGGCUUACUGGACAGAAACUGACACUGAGGCUCGAAAGCGUGGGGAGCAAACAGGAUUAGAUACCCUUGUAGUC